GUGUCAGCAGCCGCGGUAAUACGUAGGGGGCAAGCGUUGUCCGGAAUUACUGGGCGUAAAGCGCGCGCAGGCGGCCUGAUAAGUCAGGUGUGAAAUCUUAAGGCUCAACCUUAAGCGGUCACUUGAAACUAUCGGGCUUGAGGGCAGGAGAGGAGAGCGGAAUUCCUAGUGUAGCGGUGAAAUGCGUAGAUAUUAGGAGGAACACCAGUGGCGAAGGCGGCUCUCUGGUCUGCAACUGACGCUGAGGCGCGAAAGCUGGGGGAGCAAACGGGAUUAGAUACCCCGGUAGUCCCAGCUGUAAACUAUGGGCACUAGGUGUAGGAGGUAUCGACCCCUCCUGUGCCGCAGCUAACGCAUUAAGUGCCCCGCCUGGGGAGUACGGCCGCAAGGUUGAA
RNAcentral lists this ribosomal RNA (395 nucleotides) under uncultured bacterium. RNAcentral's name for it is "bacterial SSU rRNA". It matches the Rfam family "Bacterial small subunit ribosomal RNA", at positions 505 to 898 of the family's 1533-position model. The record is from RNAcentral.